UACAGAGGGUGCAAGCGUUAAUCGGAAUUACUGGGCGUAAAGGGCUCGUAGGCGGCCAACUAAGUCAUACGUGAAAUCCCUCAGCUUAACUGGGGAACUGCGUGUGAUACUGGAUGGCUUGGAUUUGGGAGAGGGAUGCGGAAUUCCAGGUGUAGCGGUGAAAUGCGUAGAUAUCUGGAGGAACACCGGUGGCGAAGGCGGCAUCCUGGACCAAUAUUGACGCUGAGGAGCGAAAGCCAGGGGAGCAAACGGG
Molecule: ribosomal RNA, 253 nt
Filed under: uncultured bacterium
Lineage: Bacteria
Description: partial 16S ribosomal RNA
Rfam family: Bacterial small subunit ribosomal RNA
Source: RNAcentral